RNAcentral lists this transfer RNA (75 nucleotides) under Holosporaceae bacterium. RNAcentral describes it as "tRNA-Val". It matches the Rfam family "tRNA". From Rfam's summary of the family: Transfer RNA (tRNA) molecules are approximately 80 nucleotides in length. Their secondary structure includes four short double-helical elements and three loops (D, anti-codon, and T loops). Lineage: Bacteria; Pseudomonadati; Pseudomonadota; Alphaproteobacteria; Holosporales; Holosporaceae. The record is from RNAcentral.
GGACGCUUAGCUCAGCGGUAGAGCGCUACAUUCACACUGUAGAGGCCGCAGGUUCGAUCCCCGCAGCGUCCACCA